Cavia porcellus (domestic guinea pig) is the source of this 1579-nucleotide long non-coding RNA. RefSeq lists it as uncharacterized. The record is from RefSeq and is a predicted model, not a curated record. The transcript has 3 exons. Lineage: Eukaryota; Metazoa; Chordata; Mammalia; Rodentia; Caviidae.
CUGAGCCUGGCCUCCAGGAGCCACAUAUCAUUAGUCCCAUCUCUCCGAUGUGGCAGUCACGACCAGAGUCACCUGUUCUCCGAACCUUGGGUCAUCCAGUGAAGUGAGUGCCUCUGCUAGAUUCCCUGAUCUCAAGGAGAAGAAUGAGGCCUUGGACACAGUCCACUCCAGUCUCCUUCCCUGCACCACACACACAGCGCUGCCUGUGUGGAGAUGGGGACAUCAUCUGGGCUUUGGGGGAGGGACAUCUAGAAAAUGCUUGGGGUGGCGCUGUGUGUCUGGCUGGGAGGGCUGGGGCUGAGGGGGAGUAAGUGCUGGAUGCCUUGCUGAUGUGGUCACAUCGCCAUGCUGGGCCACUGCAGCUGCUCACUCUGUUCUGCAGCUGCUGCUCUCCAUGCUCAGCCUGUGGGAGGCUGCAGACCAGGGUUGCCAGCCCUGGAGAAUACCCUGGCCGUAGGCUGCUCCAACCAAAAGGCGUUUACUGGAUGUGUGUCCGCCUGACACGAAACACUACACUUCCCAGCCUCCCUUUCAAAUAAGCUAAAAGUCCAUUUCUUCUGCAUGAAGAAAGUGGUCCAUUCACACAAAGGACUACUGGACAGAAGGUAAAACAAAUGAACUUUAGCAAUAUGGGUGAAUCUUAGAAACACACAAGUAAGCAAAAAUAUAAGCCCUAAAAGACUACAUGGAAAAUGAUACCUUUUUAAAGAGGUUAAAACAACUAAUAUAAACAUACAUUGAUAUAUUUUUGGAAAUAUGUAGAGAUGCAAUAAAACUAGGUGGAAAGAGAGCAGGGGAAGGUUGUACACAGGGGAAGGUUGUACCUUGAGACAGAGGAAGGGCGUGAGAGGGAACACUGGGGAGAUGUAAGUCAUUGUCGAGGCACUUGUUGAGGUGGUGAUUUUGCAGGUACUCACUGUGACGUUAAAAACAAAUCAUGAAAUAACAUAAACCAUGCAUGGACCAAUGAUGAGAAUAUCAGGGAACCAAGGAUGGGGGCAUCCAUGAAGUGUCAUUACAAUGAUCUCAUGCAAAUACAGUAUUCAAAUACCCCUCUUCACCCCACCACAGAAUCUAGAAUCUCCCUGAACUUGCACAGAUCUUGUCUUAUUAUUCCUUGUACAAUGGAAGAAGCAUCCCAAUUCUUACACUUGAAGAAAAACUCCAUCACUUGUUCUCUGGGUCCCAUUUCUUUUCAUCCUGUCAAGGACUCUGCUCCUUGGUGGUCCCCUCACUCUCUCCCUCUUAGAGGAUCAUUUCCACCAGCACAUAAACAUGAUGUAGAUUCCCCCACCUUAGAGAAAAGCACGCUCUUGCUAGGUGAAAUGGGAGUCGGCAUGUUCUAACAAAGAACCUCAAACCAGUGUACCAGCCACGAAGGUUAACCACGGCGGACCGUGUCUAAGAAAGCGGGGUACUGUGUUAGCUUCUUUUCUGUGUCGCUCUGCCAUCUUUCACGUGAGCUUCCUCCAAGGCAGGUGCUCUGGAAAGUGCCAACACUUCUAUUCAGCCAGAAGGAAAGGGAAAAGAGGAAGAAGAUGUGCCCAUUCAGGCCUGGUCUGAAGUUGCAUGUACCAUG